UACGGAGGGGGCUAGCGUUGUUCGGAAUUACUGGGCGUAAAGCGCACGUAGGCGGCUUUGUAAGUUAGAGGUGAAAGCCCGGGGCUCAACCCCGGAAUUGCCUUUAAGACUGCAUCGCUUGAAUUGUGGAGAGGUAAGUGGAAUUCCGAGUGUAGAGGUGAAAUUCGUAGAUAUUCGGAAGAACACCAGUGGCGAAGGCGACUUACUGGACACAUAUUGACGCUGAGGUGCGAAAGCGUGGGGAGCAAACAGG
This 253-nucleotide ribosomal RNA is filed under the name uncultured bacterium. RNAcentral's name for it is "partial 16S ribosomal RNA". It matches the Rfam family "Bacterial small subunit ribosomal RNA", at positions 524 to 776 of the family's 1533-position model. The record is from RNAcentral.